Molecule: ribosomal RNA, 301 nt
Filed under: uncultured bacterium
Lineage: Bacteria
Description: partial 16S ribosomal RNA
Rfam family: Bacterial small subunit ribosomal RNA
Source: RNAcentral
CAGCAGCCGCGGGAAUACGUAGGGUGCAAGCGUUAAUCGGAAUUACUGGGCGUAAAGCGUGCGCAGGCGGUUAUGUAAGACAGAUGUGAAAUGCCCGGGCUCAACCUGGGAACUGCAUUUGUGACUGCAUGGCUAGAGUGUGUCAGAGGGGGGUAGAAUUCCACGUGUAGCAGUGAAAUGCGUAGAUAUGUGGAGGAAUACCGAUGGCGAAGGCAGCCCCCUGGGAUAACACUGACGCUCAUGCACGAAAGCGUGGGGAGCAAACAGGAUUAGAUACCCCAGUAGUCCCUGUCUCUUAUAA